This 439-nucleotide ribosomal RNA is filed under the name uncultured bacterium. RNAcentral's name for it is "partial 16S ribosomal RNA". It matches the Rfam family "Bacterial small subunit ribosomal RNA", at positions 339 to 795 of the family's 1533-position model. The record is from RNAcentral.
CUACGGGGGGCAGCAGUGGGGAAUAUUACACAAUGGAGGAAACUCUGAUGUAGCAACGCCGCGUGGAGGAUGACACAUUUCGGUGCGUAAACUCCUUUUAUAUGGGAAGAUAAUGACGGUACCAUAUGAAUAAGCACCGGCUAACUCCGUGCCAGCAGCCGCGGUAAUACGGAGGGUGCAAGCGUUACUCGGAAUCACUGGGCGUAAAGCGCGCGCAGGAGGCUUUGUAAGUUGGAUGUGAAAUCCUAUGGCUCAACCAUAGAACUGCAUCCAAAACUACUUAGCUAGAGUCUGGGAGGGGAAGAUGGAAUUAGUGGUGUAGGGGUAAAAUCCGUAGAGAUCACUAGGAAUACCAAAAGCGAAGGCGAUCUUCUGGAACAGUACUGACGCUGAGGCGCGAAAGCGUGGGGAGCAAACAGGAUUAGAUACCCCUGUAGUC